CCCAAGAAAAAUCCCAGACCUGAUCGA
RNAcentral lists this non-coding RNA (27 nucleotides) under Drosophila melanogaster (fruit fly). The record is from RNAcentral. Lineage: Eukaryota; Metazoa; Arthropoda; Insecta; Diptera; Drosophilidae.